UGUGCAACUAACAGUCUUUGAAGCUCUGUG
This 30-nucleotide non-coding RNA is filed under the name Mus musculus (house mouse). Lineage: Eukaryota; Metazoa; Chordata; Mammalia; Rodentia; Muridae. The record is from RNAcentral.